CAAGAUUUCAUACAAAACAGCGUAGAAUGAAGAAUCUGUUCGAUAGAUUUCGAAACUCUUACAUAAUUUAUUUGCUUGAUCUCGAAAUGAACGACUGGGUCAUUCAUGAGAAACUUUCGCACUUGAUCGACGGUCGCCACAUUCGUAAUCCUUUCUUCAACCUGAAAAGAGGAAAACUCGUCAAAGAGGACAGCUAGCGGCUGAAACAGGAUAGGUUACGGUUUUACACCCAUUGUCCAUGAUUAGUCGCUAUGUCAUUCUUGAUUUAAAAAGAUCUACUUUUUCCAGCUGGCCGUAGUAUUCGGAAUAUGAUUUUUCAUGGGAAACACAGUGGUCGGCGCUCUAAGAAAAUGGAGAGAGCGGGAUAUUUUUGCAACCGAAAAGAGUCUCGAGUGGAAAAAAUUUAAGAAGCAAAUUACGCCUUCUGUUCACCGUUCUGCAGAUCACCUCGAACAGAACUUUUCAAAAAGCAUUUUUUUGCACUCAUAUUUCCCCAUAAACCCGAGAAAAUUUUCCAGGGCACUAUUGUGCAGUAAGCCUUUCAAAAGUUUAAUAAAUAAAAAUGGCAAGUUGCAACACUGUUCCGAUGGAGAGCACAAACCUGACUUACUCACCAUCUUGUAAAAACUGCAGUGGAGUAGAAGACAUCAAAUCAUAUGAAAAGCCAUCUCAUAUAGCUAUCACCUUGGAUACGGACAGUCAUGAAAUAGAAGAUUUUGAUCACAUUGACGAGUUUAUCAUGUAUUUUGUGAGUUUCCUGAGAAGACUUAGAAAAAUAUACUUGACUUCUAAGGUAAAACACAAACAAUCGCUUAAUCAUAAUGAGAUGUAGAAAAACUGUAAAAUUUUUGUACAAACUUAUAUUGAUGCCAAGUUUAAUGUGUAACGCAAUAUGUAUAAUAGCAACAAAAAUAGAAAAAUAAAUAUCUGUUAUAUAAUGUACAAUAAUGAUUAGACAAAGGAGCACGUUUAGUAAACUACCGUACGGUUAAAAUUUCGUAUGUAAAAAAUAUCACAAUUACUAACAUUCUACGUUUAAUCAGUUGAAAUAUUUUCCUAGUGAAAAUUGUUGAUAUUAUAAAAGGAUAAACAGAAUGUAUUAAUGAGUUAUUGCUAAUAUAUUUUAAUCGGAUUGUGUCCACAAUGUACAAGAAACUUUUGCACUAAAAUUCACUGUGCUUGCUAUAUAUACAUAUAUGACCACAAAAUUAAACCAUUUGAACAACAGAUAUCUUUUUCAGAGUAUGCAUAACUAUCAAUCGGAUUUUCCAUUGUUUUUUAUUAUUAUUAUUAUUUUAUUUUUUUAUGAAGCAAAUAAAUAUUUGGCAAUAGUAUUUAAA
Long non-coding RNA from Argiope bruennichi, 1340 nucleotides. RefSeq lists it as uncharacterized. Lineage: Eukaryota; Metazoa; Arthropoda; Arachnida; Araneae; Araneidae. The transcript is spliced from 3 exons. The record is from RefSeq and is a predicted model, not a curated record.